RNAcentral lists this ribosomal RNA (440 nucleotides) under uncultured bacterium. RNAcentral's name for it is "partial 16S ribosomal RNA". It matches the Rfam family "Bacterial small subunit ribosomal RNA", at positions 338 to 795 of the family's 1533-position model. The record is from RNAcentral.
CCUACGGGAGGCAGCAGUAGGGAAUAUUGCUCAAUGGGGGAAACCCUGAAGCAGCAACGCCGCGUGGAGGAUGAAGGUUUUCGGAUUGUAAACUCCUUUUGUUAGAGAAGAUAAUGACGGUAUCUAACGAAUAAGCACCGUCUAACUCCGUGCCAGCAGCCGCGGUAAUACGGAGGGUGCCAGCGUUACUCGGAAUCACUGGGCGUAAAGAGCGCGUAGGCGGGAUAGCAAGUCAGAUGUGAAAUCCUAUGGCUUAACCAUAGAAGUGCAUUUGAUACUGUUAUUCUAGAGUACGGGAGAGGUAGGUGGAAUUCGUGGUGUAGGGGUAAAAUCCGUAGAGAUCAAGAGGAAUACUCAGUGCGAAGGCGACCUACUAGAACAUAACUGACGCUGAUGCGCGAAAGCGUGGGGAGCAAACAGGAUUAGAUACCCCUGUAGUC